UGGGGAAUUUUGGACAAUGGGCGAAAGCCUGAUCCAGCAAUGCCGCGUGUGUGAAGAAGGCCUUCGGGUUGUAAAGCACUUUUGUCCGGAAAGAAAUCCUUGGCUCUAAUACAGUCGGGGGAUGACGGUACCGGAAGAAUAAGCACCGGCUAACUACGUGCCAGCAGCCGCGGUAAUACGUAGGGUGCAAGCGUUAAUCGGAAUUACUGGGCGUAAAGCGUGCGCAGGCGGUUUGCUAAGACCGAUGUGAAAUCCCCGGGCUCAACCUGGGAACUGCAUUGGUGACUGGCAGGCUAGAGUAUGGCAGAGGGGGGUAGAAUUCCACGUGUAGCAGUGAAAUGCGUAGAGAUGUGGAGGAAUACCGAUGGCGAAGGCAGCCCCCUGGGCCAAUACUGACGCUCAUGCACGAAAGCGUGGGGAGCAAACAGGAUUAGAUACCCUGGUAGUCCACGCCCUAAACGAUGUCAACUAGUUGUUGGGGACUUCAUUUCCUUAGUAACGUAGCUAACGCGUGAAGUUGACCGCCUGGGGAGUACGUCGCAAGAUUAAAACUCAAUGAAUUGACGGGGUCAUAGCUGUUUCCU
RNAcentral lists this ribosomal RNA (584 nucleotides) under uncultured bacterium. RNAcentral describes it as "partial 16S ribosomal RNA". It matches the Rfam family "Bacterial small subunit ribosomal RNA", at positions 355 to 1375 of the family's 1533-position model. The record is from RNAcentral.